RNAcentral lists this ribosomal RNA (472 nucleotides) under uncultured bacterium. RNAcentral describes it as "bacterial LSU rRNA". It matches the Rfam family "Bacterial large subunit ribosomal RNA", at positions 68 to 540 of the family's 2925-position model. The record is from RNAcentral.
CCGAUAUGCUCCGGGGAGCUGUAAGUAAGCUUUGAUCCGGAGAUUUCCGAAUGGGGCAACCCAAUAUCUUUGAUAGGAUAUUACGUUACACUGAAUACAUAGGUGUAUCGAGGAACACGCAGGGAACUGAAACAUCUCAUUACCUGCAGGAAGAGAAAGAAAAUUCGAUUCCCUUAGUAGCGGCGAGCGAAACGGGAAAAGCCCAAACCAAAGAGCUUGCUCUUUGGGGUUGUAGGACUGGGACAUGAGACUGCAAUGGAUAGCAGAAGCCAACUGGAAAGUUGCGCAACAUAGGGUAAUAGCCCCGUAUGCGAAAUCCAAAUCAGCUCUACCAGUAUCCUGAGUACGGCGGAACACGAGAAAUUCCGUCGGAAUCCGGGAGGACCAUCUCCCAAGGCUAAAUACUCCCUAGUGACCGAUAGUGAACCAGUACCGUGAGGGAAAGGUGAAAAAGCACCCCGGAAGGGGAGUG